AUUGAACGCUGGCGGCAGGCCUAACACAUGCAAGUCGAGCGGAUGGAGGGAGCUUGCUCCUGGAUUCAGCGGCGGACGGGUGAGUAAUGCCUAGGAAUCUGCCUGGUAGUGGGGGAUAACGUUCGGAAACGGGCGCUAAUACCGCAUACGUCCUGAGGGAGAAAGUGGGGGAUCUUCGGACCUCACGCUAUCAGAUGAGCCUAGGUCGGAUUAGCUAGUUGGUGGGGUAAAGGCCUACCAAGGCGACGAUCCGUAACUGGUCUGAGAGGAUGAUCAGUCACACUGGAACUGAGACACGGUCCAGACUCCUACGGGAGGCAGCAGUGGGGAAUAUUGGACAAUGGGCGAAAGCCUGAUCCAGCCAUGCCGCGUGUGUGAAGAGGGUCUUCGGAUUGUAAAGCACUUUAAGUUGGGAGGAAGGGCAGUAAGUUAAUACCUUGCUGUUUUGACGUUACCAACAGAAUAAGCACCGGCUAACUUCGUG
Molecule: ribosomal RNA, 484 nt
Filed under: uncultured bacterium
Lineage: Bacteria
Description: partial 16S ribosomal RNA
Rfam family: Bacterial small subunit ribosomal RNA
Source: RNAcentral